Molecule: transfer RNA, 73 nt
Filed under: Camelus bactrianus (Bactrian camel)
Lineage: Eukaryota; Metazoa; Chordata; Mammalia; Artiodactyla; Camelidae
Also listed under: 2 other names
Rfam family: tRNA
About the family: Transfer RNA (tRNA) molecules are approximately 80 nucleotides in length. Their secondary structure includes four short double-helical elements and three loops (D, anti-codon, and T loops).
Source: Rfam by way of RNAcentral
GAAGGUGUAGCUCAAGGGGUAGAGCAUGUGCUUAGCAUGCACGGGGUUCUGGGUUCAAGACCCAGUCCCUCCA